GUCUGCAACCUACACCACAGCGCUCAGCAACGCUGGAUCCUUCACCCACUGACCAGCCACUAUGUAAGAAGUGUAAUUACCCUGAAAGCACUACAUUGUCAGAAGCCCAAGGUCAUGAAAAGAGGCCCUGGAGGAUGAGAUAUCAAGUAGAGAAUUGAAGAAGCACCAAGAAACCACAAGUGAAGUGUAAGUGAAGAAGACAUUUUGGAAAUGGAUCCUCCAGCCGCACUGCCUUGACUAUUGCUGCGCAAAUCAGGUGAACUGCCCAGUUGGAGCCCCUCCCAAUUUUUGACCAAUGACGUGAUGAGCAAAAUAAAAUGGUUUUUUUUUUU
This is a non-coding RNA of Sus scrofa (pig), 332 nucleotides long. NCBI's taxonomy places the organism in Eukaryota, Metazoa, Chordata, Mammalia, Artiodactyla, Suidae. The record is from RefSeq and is a predicted model, not a curated record.